GAAGCUGAAGAAAAGCAAGAAGCAGGAAGACUGUCCGAACCACGUUUACGAUCCAUGUUUGCUGUUCUAUAUCAAGCACCUCCAACCGAAGUAUUGCUACUUCAGUCAUGAAUGUAGCACACAGCUCAAUACAUAGCCAGGGCCUAACAGCGGAAGUUUGUUUGGUGCUACUCAACAUGUAGAUGAUAAAGAUUGAAGUGAAGUAAAU
Molecule: unclassified non-coding RNA, 208 nt
Filed under: Hevea brasiliensis (rubber tree)
Lineage: Eukaryota; Viridiplantae; Streptophyta; Magnoliopsida; Malpighiales; Euphorbiaceae
Source: RNAcentral